AUUGAACGCUGGCGGCAGGCUUAACACAUGCAAGUCGAGCGGAGUGAUGGUGCUUGCACUAUCACUUAGCGGCGGACGGGUGAGUAAUGCUUAGGAAUCUGCCUAUUAGUGGGGGACAACAUCUCGAAAGGGAUGCUAAUACCGCAUACGUCCUACGGGAGAAAGCAGGGGAUCACUUGUGACCUUGCGCUAAUAGAUGAGCCUAAGGCGGAUUAGCUAGUUGGUGGGGUAAAGGCCUACCAAGGCGACGAUCUGUAGCGGGUCUGAGAGGAUGAGCGGCCAACCUGGGACGGAGAAACGGCACAGACUCCUACGGGAGGCAGAAGGGGGGAAUAUUGGACAAUGGGGGGAACCCUGAUCCAGCCACGCCGCGUGUGUGAAGAAGGCCUUAUGGUUGUAAAGCACUUUAAGCGAGGAGGAGGCUCUUUUGGUUAAUACCAAAGAUGAGUGGACGUUACUCGCAGAAUAAGCACCGGCUAACUCUGUGCCAGCCGCCGCGGUAA
RNAcentral lists this ribosomal RNA (503 nucleotides) under uncultured bacterium. RNAcentral describes it as "partial 16S ribosomal RNA". It matches the Rfam family "Bacterial small subunit ribosomal RNA", at positions 30 to 523 of the family's 1533-position model. The record is from RNAcentral.